This 73-nucleotide transfer RNA is filed under the name Crassvirales sp. RNAcentral describes it as "tRNA-Ile". It matches the Rfam family "tRNA". From Rfam's summary of the family: Transfer RNA (tRNA) molecules are approximately 80 nucleotides in length. The record is from RNAcentral. Lineage: Duplodnaviria; Heunggongvirae; Uroviricota; Caudoviricetes; Crassvirales.
ACUCCAAUAACUCAGUGGUUAGAGUUCCAAGCUUAUACCUUGGCGGUCGUAGGUUCAAAUCCUACUUGGAGUA